Long non-coding RNA from Heterocephalus glaber (naked mole-rat), 2562 nucleotides. NCBI's taxonomy places the organism in Eukaryota, Metazoa, Chordata, Mammalia, Rodentia, Bathyergidae. The record is from Ensembl.
GCUGCUAGUACUUCCGCGACGCGUCAGAGGACUACUCGCUCAGUUAGCGUCCGGGUGUCAGAAGGAGAGGGUGUCACUUUUUUGUUAGCGAGCGCUUACACAAAGCUUCCAUCCGUCAUAAGUUUCGAGGGGGAAGCGUCUGUUGGGCCUUUCUCUCCAUCCUGAGGGAGGUGUCAGCAGCCUGCGAUGCUGUUGAGUUUGCAACAAAGGAUUUUUGCAAGAAAGGACUUUUCUAAAGAAAAGGAAGCCUAGACCGGGGGCAAUUUUCCUGGGGAAAGGGAAGGACAUGCUUUACUUAAUCUAAACUUAUUCAACCAUUUGAUUCUCACCUUGUAUGCUUUUGCCCUGUAGUUUAACCAUUCUCUCACAGAGCCUGUGUGCUUUUCACCCGCAGUUUUAAUUAUUUGUGCUUUUGUCCCAUAUUUCAACCAUUCACUGUCCAUAAAGACUAUGCCCUUUUGUACCACAGUUUAAUCAUUCACUUCUGGCCAGAUCCCCCAUAGCCAGGUGUGGUGCCAGUUGCAUUCCAAUUAUGUAAUGAUGGCCAGUCUGUGGCAGGUAUGUAUAUGUAUGUUACUUCAGUGUUACAAAACCUAAGAAGAUCUAAACAUGGUAGUUCUGGUCAGAGCCAAUCAAGGUCAAUUUAGGACUAGCCAGGCAUGGUGGUACAUGCCUGUAAUCCCAGUGCUUGGGAGGUUGAGGCAGGAGAAUUGUAGUGGGUUUGAGGCCACCUUGGACUACAGUGUGAGGCCCUGUCCCAAAUACAUCAUCAGUCCUCUAGUGGAACUUAGUGAAUUGCUGUUAACUAAAGAUGUGCUUUCUAGUAUUCUGUUAUUUGCACUUUCCAAGAAUUUAGCCAAGUGUUUUUUUAAAAGUUAAAUUUCAGCCAGGUGUAGUAACACACUCUAGGAAGCUGAGACAGGAGGAUUGAAAGAACACAGCCUGAGUAACUUAGUAACUUAGUGAGACCCUGUCUCAAAAAAGGUUUGGAGAUACAGCUCAAUGUGAAGACCUUGGGUUUAAUCCCCAAUACCAGAAAGUAAAAAAAAAAGAAAAAGUUCAUUUCCUUGGUCACGUUAGUCAAUUCUCAAUAGUUCAAUGGCCAUAUGUGACUAAUGGCUAUAUCAUUGAAAAGUACAGGUAAGAGAAUUUUGAUUAUACGUAAAACUUUCUAUUAGGCAGAGCAGCUGUGAAGAGAAAUUUGACCAUUUGAAAAAUGUAAAUGUGCAAUGUCUUGGACAUGUAUUCCUAGACAUGCUUGUUAACUUGUUCUUAAAGCCUUUAGUCACAUUCUUUCUAAAGGUAGCAGCACAUGGUUUGAACAAGGGGAAUUUCCAUUGCUGCUACGGGUAAUGUUUCAAGUUUAGAUUAAGAAUGACUUUACUGGAAGGGUAAUAUAUGCAUCUGAAGGAAUAAAGAAGUUUACAUUGUAGGUUCAUUUUUAUUUUAAUGAGACUUGAAAAGAUGGUAAACCACCAUUGUUAGAGCGCUAGAACAAAUCCAGGAAAAUAUCAGGAUUGGUUGAAGAUUUAUAACUGAAAACGUGGUUGGUGUGGAGCUCAGAAAAUUAUCAGAAAAUUACAGUAUUUGAUGGUGAUUAAAGGCUGAUUGGUUGAUACUUUCAUUUGCAAAGUUCUGGUGUUUAAGAAUUUCCUAUUUAAGGGAGACUCUGAAGUGAUGACCUAAUCCUAGGGUCUUUUUCACCUCUUGGCUGGUUAUGGGAACACCUGUUCUGAUCCUGACCUGUGUUUAAAUAGCCCUGAGGAGCACACAAGCCACGUAACUAUCUCAGUCAAACCCCUUUCCUCAUGUGCAAGAGAGGUGUUUGGCUAGUUGCUAUGGAUAUGUGCCACUGCUGCCUGAGCCCACUAUGUGGCUCAGGCUGACCUUGAACUCACAGCAGUCCUCUUGCUUCAGCCUCCCCAGUACUGGGAUAUAGGCAAGUGCCACCAUGCACAGCUCAGAUUCACUUUUAUAGCUAAUACUUUUCUUCAGACUUCUUUACCAUUAGCUUUUUCCUUAGCUCAUUAACAUGUUUGAGACUUCUCAAUUUCCUCUUUCAUUUCUUAGUCUAUUGACUUUUCUUUUUAACUACUGAAUAUCUUGAAACAAAUAGCUUAUAUUCUUUCUUGAUCUCCCCCCCAUAAUUAUACUAUGAAAUCCUAUCAAUUCUAGUCUUCCUCUUUUUCUAAAACAGAGUCUCACUAUGUAGCCCAGGCUGGCCUUGAACUUGAGAUCUUCCCACCUCAGCCUCCCCAGUGCUGGGAUUACAGGUAUGUACCACCAUAAUGCCUGGCCAGUUCUAGUCUAAACUGACCUUGGUUGAUCCUCCUAGGUUUUUUAACACUGAAGAUAACAGAUCAUGUAUACGUACCGCCCCCCGAAACUGGCCAUCAUUGCAUAUAAUUGAGGUGCAGUUGCAUAGGUGUGAUGUGCGGUUACUGUAUAACCUCUGGUCAUAUAGGAAGGUGGUGCUGAUAGUUACUGAGAUAGUUUGCCAAGAGAGUAGAUUCAGUGCUGUGCAACAGAAACAAGAGGCACAAUAAAAGUAAAAAGAUGGGC